UACGUAGGGGGCAAGCGUUGUCCGGAUUUAUUGGGCGUAAAGAGCGUGUAGGCGGUCAGGUAGGUCGGUUGUGAAAACUCGAGGCUCAACCUCGAGAUGUCGGCGGAAACCACUUGGCUAGAGUCCGGAAGAGGAGAGUGGAAUUCCCGGUGUAGCGGUGAAAUGCGCAGAUAUCGGGAAGAACACCUAUGGCGAAGGCAGCUCUCUGGGACGGUACUGACGCUGAGGCGCGAAAGCGUGGGGAGCGAACAGG
RNAcentral lists this ribosomal RNA (253 nucleotides) under uncultured bacterium. RNAcentral describes it as "partial 16S ribosomal RNA". It matches the Rfam family "Bacterial small subunit ribosomal RNA", at positions 524 to 776 of the family's 1533-position model. The record is from RNAcentral.